UAAGUAAGCUUUGAUCCAGAGAUUUCCGAAUGGGGAAACCCAGCAUGAGUUAUGUCAUGUUAUCGAUAUGUGAAUACAUAGCAUAUCAGAAGGCACACCCGGAGAACUGAAACAUCUUAGUACCCGGAGGAAGAGAAAGAAAAUUCGAUUCCCUUAGUAGCGGCGAGCGAAACGGGAAGAGCCCAAACCAACAAGCUUGCUUGUUGGGGUUGUAGGACACUCUAUACGGAGUUACAAAGGACGACAUUAGACGAAUCAUCUGGAAAGAUGAAUCAAAGAAGGUAAUAAUCCUGUAGUCGAAAAUGUUGUCUCUCUUGAGUGGAUCCUGAGUACGACGGAGCACGUGAAAUUCCGUCGGAAUCUGGGAGGACCAUCUCCUAAGGCUAAAUACUCUCUAGUGACCGAUAGUGAACCAGUACCGUGA
RNAcentral lists this ribosomal RNA (424 nucleotides) under Staphylococcus aureus. RNAcentral's name for it is "partial 23S ribosomal RNA". It matches the Rfam family "Bacterial large subunit ribosomal RNA", at positions 89 to 506 of the family's 2925-position model. The record is from RNAcentral. Lineage: Bacteria; Bacillati; Bacillota; Bacilli; Caryophanales; Staphylococcaceae.